ACUGCUCUUCAGCAGUGAGGUCUGUCACUGUAGCUUUCAGCCUGAUGAUGCUCUGCUUUUGCUUCUCAAUUCAUUUCUCUCUAUUAUCAGAGCCACAUCUAAAAUUGCUACACCUCCUCUGUUUUUUCUUCACUUUCUCAGAGCAAGACCUUGUCUCCAAUGUAUUCUAGGAGUGCGAAGAAACACUGGAUAUUGAAGACUUGCACUUUCCAGCAGGUAUCCCAUUCUUGGAUAUUUUUUACAGCUAUUGGAUGAGCAACAUGUAACUCAGUGUAGCGCCUGAAUGCACAUGGGCCAGAUCCUCCACCUGCUUAUAGUCAAAGGAGAAGGAACAUCAGCACCAAGAUCCAAGAUGAGCACCUAAACCAUCGUGGCCAGCGCUCUGAACAGAAAGGGUGUGCUUUCAACCCGCAGAUAUAUUCACUGGGACGCCAUCGCCAGCCAGCCUGUUAGGGGACAGAAAACAGCAAGACCGCAGCCGCUGGACGUGGCGGUUGAGCUCGGAGAUCUCCUGCUUGGUGGUGCGGAGGUCAUCCCCAUGCCUGCCUGCUGUAGCCUGCAGCUCUUCGUACUGUCACCAAGAGAGAGGAACAAUUACCCAAGGGAAAAGCCAUCCUUUAUGGAGUCAUCCAGGUGCCUGAAAGCACAGGUCCCUCCUCGAGCUUAGACUAGCAACUGUGCAAGAUGCAAUAUCUGAGACAGUUUUCUUGGAAGAGUUGUUCUUUAUCUGUUCAAGACAAAACAUGAAGAUAACAGCACGGAAACCCCCAGGUUCUUCACCUUGGUUUGGUACCAGGACUCUGCUUCAGCCCUGCUCCGGUUGGCGAUGUCCUCAUACUGCGCUUUGACCUCUGAGAUGAUGCUGUCCAGGUCCAGGUUUCGGUUGUUGUCCAUGGUGAGAACGACAGAGGUGUCGGAGAUCUGCGUCUGCAUCUGUGACAGCUCCUGCAAAGUGCAUAGGGGAUUAGGUGAGCUCAUUCCAUUGGGAGAUGCCUUCAUCCUUUCAGAUGAGCGUGCAGACCUGGCAGAGGCUACAGAUUGUUAUCUAGCCAGCUAAGACGGUUGAUGUAACUCUAAAGAGAUAAAGGAGUUAGCAUCUCCUGGGGGAAGAAAUUACAGGGUUUCAGGGGGAAGCUCUUAACUGAGGGUUGCAAUGGCUUGGGAGGGGGUUGUACUCACUGCUUCAUAGAGGGCUCUCAGGAAAUUAAUUUCUUCAGUCAGCGCAUCUACCUUGGCUUGUAGUUCCACUUUGUUCAUAUAGGCAGCAUCUACAUCCUGGAGGAUGAGAGAUUUAUGUUAUGUGUCUUAAACUCCUAUUAAGUCAGGAACAAGCACGUCCCUGUAAUAACAACACAGGGAAAAGCUUUUGAAAUCUGCAUGGAUGGAUUUGUGACUGAGCAGGCGAUCAGAGCUCUAUCAAUAUUCAUCAGAUGGUGGUCUGCCGUUUUCUCUCACCUUCUUGAGCGUCACAAACUCAUUCUCUGCAACCGUGCGCCUGUUGAUUUCAUCUUCAUACCUGAUGGAAGGAGGCAGAGGGAGCAUUUGUUUAGGCAAGUAACAGACGGAGGUGAUUUUAGUUUGCUGGAAUGAAUUUCCUUAAGAGAAUUUUGCAUACAAUGGUCUUUUCUCCUAUAGAACACCUGAAUAAGAGACCAUGAGCACGUUCCUAGGCUAAACUAGUUAAAACAAGUACAUCAAAUAAAUUUGAAAGAAUCUAUUCUUUUCUCCUAUUUCUGGCCGUUAGUCAGACUCCUCCUGCCUCUCAGGCAAAUUCAGCUGUCCUGGAACUCUCAGACCUAGCAUGUAAUUUCUCUCUUCUUUUUCUCAGUAGGUAAUUUAGUUAAUGACUCUUUGAUCAUAUUCGAAACAAUUCCCUAAGUGUUUGUGUAUUCGGAUCUGUGACUCCAUUACCAUUUAUCUCAAGAAAAUGUCACAACCCUCACUGUUGGGAAUUCCUGUGUCCCGGACUCUCCUGGAUCUCCCAGUUGGCUUAAGGAUGUUGAAUGGAGAAAGGCUGCACCUACACAGGUAAGUAGCCCGCUAGCUCGGUAAACUUACUUCUUCUUGAAAUCCUCAACCAGGUACUGUGUGUUGACGAGCUCUCCCUCCAGCCUUCCCUUGUCGCUCAGCAAACUGUUCAGUUGCAUCCUGAGGUUGUUGAUGUACGUCUCAAAAAGCGGCUCCAAGUUGUUCUUCACUGUUUUCAUCCCCUGCUCCUGGAGCAGGCUCCACUUGGUUUCCAGCACUUUGUUUUGUUGCUCAAGGAAUCGGACCUGCAAGCAGAAAUAUCCUGAAGAUGCUUUGAAAGAGCAGAGAUUACGGAGAGCUUUCCUUGCAAAUGGGGGAUCUCAGGAUUAGCUGAGGUGCUGGAACACUCCUUACAGCUGAUUUUCAUAGUCAGAUUCUCCUCUGCUAGAAGAAGGAAUUUGCUGUUUGGCUGCAGGGACCCUACUCAGUGUUGCAAACAAGCUAUGGAACGAAUGACUGCUGAUUUUCUAUCACUGUGCUUGAUGAAUCAAGGUAAGGUGCAUGCAUUUUGUGUAAAGACUGCACGCAAAGCGAGAUAAGGAGCAAGACAUGGUUUGCACUCUUGCUAAAAACCCAAUAGUAAAGUGCCAUUUCUCCCUGCUUUCAGUAUAGCUUCCCCACCCUACAAAAGCUCCACAAUGAUGCAGUGUUUUCCUUGAAACCAAAGAGGAGCUGCUCAACCGGAGCAGAAGUCAAGCAGUUGCUCUUGUGCAUCUAAUACAGUUAACAAGGAAAUGAAGUGGACAGACAGUGUCAGAUCAGAUUUUUCUACUUUGAAACAUGCUGCCCAAGCAUGUUUCAUAACAGUUCA
Neopsephotus bourkii (Bourke's parrot) is the source of this 2839-nucleotide long non-coding RNA. RefSeq lists it as uncharacterized. The record is from RefSeq and is a predicted model, not a curated record. Lineage: Eukaryota; Metazoa; Chordata; Aves; Psittaciformes; Psittacidae. The transcript is spliced from 3 exons.